RNAcentral lists this unclassified non-coding RNA (33 nucleotides) under Binucleata daphniae. Its description in RNAcentral is "16S-23S ribosomal RNA intergenic spacer". Lineage: Eukaryota; Fungi; Microsporidia. The record is from RNAcentral.
CUAACGUUAUUGGGGUUUUAUAUUUAUAAGUUU